This 495-nucleotide ribosomal RNA is filed under the name uncultured bacterium. RNAcentral's name for it is "partial 16S ribosomal RNA". It matches the Rfam family "Bacterial small subunit ribosomal RNA", at positions 28 to 507 of the family's 1533-position model. The record is from RNAcentral.
GACGAACGCUGGCGGCGUGCCUAAUACAUGCAAGUAGAACGCUGAAGGAGGAGCUUGCUUCUCCGGAUGAGUUGCGAACGGGUGAGUAACGCGUAGGUAACCUGCCUGGUAGCGGGGGAUAACUAUUGGAAACGCUAGCUAAUACCGCAUAAGAGUAGAUGUCGCAUGACAUUUGCUUAAAAGGUGCAACUGCACCACUACCAGAUGGACCUGCGUUGUAUUAGCUAGUUGGUGAGGUAACGGCUCACCAAGGCAACGAUACAUAGCCGACCUGAGAGGGUGAUCGGCCACACUGGGACUGAGACACGGCCCAGACUCCUACGGGAGGCAGCAGGAGGGAAUCUUCGGCAAUGGACGGAAGUCUGACCGAGCAACGCCGCGGGAGUGAAGAAGGGUUUCGGAUCGGAAAGCUCUGUUGUAAGAGAAGAACGAGUGUGGGAGUGGAAAGUUCACACUGUGACGGUAUCUUACCAGAAAGGGACGGCUAACUACGUG